AAAUUUUUGAAAUUAAUCAAAUUUAGGCUAUACGCCCAGUCUAUGAAUUCUGCAAGCUCUCGAUUUCAAGUGACCCAAUCCACUGGACGCAAACUCACCUACUAUUUGUAGGCCUCCACUACUCCUCAAAUUGCAUAAUGUCUUUCAUCUAAACUAUGUCAAUUUUGAUCACAGAAAUAAUUUGAUUGAACCGAAUUACAUGUUUUCUUUUCAUAUAUCUACCAGCAUUAACAUACAAUAAAGUUAGUACAAAUUUCUACAGCUUGACAUGCAUAUUUUCAAUUAACAUUACAUCAUCGCGCAACACAUUGCAAAUAAAUUAGCACCAGUAUUGGAUCACUUUCAGUGUCCAGCAUUCCCGGCCAAACUCCCCAAUCUUUCAAUUGACAAUCUCUGCAACAAAUAAUCUGAGCAAGCAAAUUUCAAGUAAUUAGAAAGGGAAGGCGAAGCCAGGGAGAGAAGUAUGCAAAUGGUAAACGCAUAGUUAUUUUUCCCAAUUGCUACAACAAUAAAAUAAUGCAGCCGCACAAAGAUGACUAACAAAAAUGUCAAAUUAUUUAAAAUUUCAUUCUCGCAUGAUCAGCACCAUCACACUAACUCCCUUUCAUGAAUACUUUUACAACUUUUAAGCAUUUGCUAAUGUAGGGUCAUGAAACCCAUUUAAGCACUGUAAAUCAUAGUGGGAUGUUAUUAACUAUAAAAAAAUUGAAAACAUGAAUUCUAAAAUAAUCGGAAUUUUGUGUUACUAUUAGUGGUAUAUUAAUAGCAUAUGGACUAGAGGGGCAUUAAUGAACUAGAGAAACAUUAGCAACAAUAAUAAAUGCAUGGAACUUAUGAUUGAAAGCAAUAAAUCCCUAACAAAGUAGACCAGUAGAACCUGGUAAUAUAAAAGCAAUCAUUUGUUUUGCUUAGCGGCAACAGUCCUCUGUACGGUUGAAACACCAUCCACAAAUUUAGUUCGGAAAAGAACAUUUGCAUUGUUGAACAUGCCUUCUUUCAGCGAAACCACAAUAAACUGGGAAUGUGGAAAGUGAGCUUUGAUCAUUCUCCCUAUGUUCUGCGUAUGGCUUAAAUCAAGAGCAGCAUCAACCUCAUCCAGGAUAUAAAGUGGAGCUGGCUUGAAGAGAAGCAAUGCCAAGAUUAGAGAAAGGGCAAGCAGAGACCGUUGACCUCCACUUAGUUCUGACAAGGAUUGUUUCCAAACACCUCCAAAUGCAACACGAACCUCUACACCAUCCAGGAAAUUGCAACCUUCAGGAGGUUCUAGUUUUGCCAUGGUUCCAGGCAAUAGGGUAGAAAAAAUGGAUCCAAAAUCAUCGUUGACUUUAACCCAAGUAACUUUUAGAGUUUCCUUCUUUUUCUCAUCGAGCUCUUCAAUCACCUUCUUGAUUUUAGACUUGUCAUUCUCAAUGAUGUUUUUCUUGGACAUUAAAUCAUGGUACUCAUCUUCAGCUUUCUCAAACAUUGCCAUAACCUUCUUGUUCACCCUUUUCUCAAGGCUUUAUAAGAGUGGGGAAAAAAAAUCAGCGCUCUAGUGUUAUGCCAGCAAAAAAUAAAAUUUAACAAUAGAAUACCCUGAUUGUUCAGCUUGCAACUUCUCAAGUUCUUUCCUUGCUUUACAGGCAUCACGGGACAUAAAAUCAUAAUCUGUCCCACUUCUUCCAAAUAGUUGUUUCUCAGAAGCAAUCCAGGCAUGCUUCUCAAUUAAUUUGUCCACCUUCAUAGAACAAUCUUUUUGUUCCACUUCCAUUCUUUUCACCUCAUUUUCUAGCUUCUUCCUCUCAAGCUUUCUCUCACCAACUUUAUGUUCGAGUUUUUGCUGCUCCUUCAGAAUGCUACUAAUCUGAGAAUCACAUUCCUUCAUCUUUUUACGAAUCAAAUCAAGCUCAGAUUGAGCUUGAUCAUGAUUUUUACGAAUGGAAACAACCUUCAUUUUUUGUUCUUCCACUUCCAAAUUGAGAUGAUUAAUUUGCAUUCUCAAAGAAUUUAAUUGACUCUCCAAAGAUGUCUGUUCUUUAAUGACAGCUUCUUGUUCCAUAAUAAGUCUUUCUCUUUCGUUUCCAUGACCCUUGAGAUCCUUUGAAGCUAACUGCACUUCAGAUUUUACAGCCUUAAUUUUUUUCUCUAAGUCUUUCAGCCUGCCUUCUCGAUUAUUAUCAUGCUCUUUGAUCGAUUUCUCAAGCAUCAAAACCAUACUAACACAUUCAUUGUACAAAACUUGCUUUUCUUUGACUGUGGAAUUUGCUUCCGUAAGCUCCUGCUCUAUCUUCUUCACUAACUCACCAAGCUUAUGAUGCUCAUUUUGCUCAGCCCUGCCCUGAAAUAAUGACAGGUCAUACUGUUUAAGCUCUAGCUGUUUUUUAAGAUCCACAAACUUUUUAUGGACAGGCAAGAGGUCUGUAAUCUUUGUUUCAAUUUCAGAUAAUUUUCUUUGAUGUAGUAAAAGAUUUGAUUCAGCCUCUGCCAAUUCAUGAAGUUGCCUUAACAGAUUGCCACCACCCUUUCGGCUGCCACCAGUUAAAAGACCACUUGGUUGAAAUAUAUCACCUUCAAGAGUGACACUGGGAGUGCAAAUCUCUCGAUUAAAAGCAAUCUCCUUUGCUGCAUCAGUGGUUUUGCAUACAAAGGUCGAACCAAAAACAUAUUCCAUUGCAUUUCGUAAAUCCUCAUCAUAACCAACUAAAGAAAGUGCCACUUCUGCAUUCCCCUUGCCAACCAAUCUAACAGCUGCCUGCUGAAGUCGUUGGGGUACAGUAUGGGAUUGAAUUUUGUUCAAAGGAAUAAUUGUUACUCUUCUCCGAAGAUCACCAUUUUGAAGUAGCUGCUUUCCUGUAUUUUCGGUGUCUACAACAACAUUAAAUAACUUGCCACCAGCAGUUACCUCUAAGGCAGUCAUAGUAGAGCUAUCCUUUACUUUGAUAAGCUUUGCUACCACACCUUUUACUUUUGAUCUAUCAAAGUUUUUCACAGGAUCACGGUAUGUGAACUGAACAUUUGAUAAUUGUGCUAUAAGAUCCCGUAUUUUGUCUUUCAACUUCUGCACCAAAUCUAUUUCAGAUGCACGAUCCUUUUGCAAAACUUCCAUCUCGCCCUCUAUGUAUGGAAGAGAUUCCAAUGCCAAUUUAACAUUUUCCACAUCUUUUUUUCUAGCAUUAAGCUCAUUCUCUGCAGCAACUUCUUCCUCUCGCUUUGACAUCAACUGAUGCCUUUUCUCUUUUAGCUCUUUUUCGCAAUGGCUGAUUUUUGUUUUCAACUGUUUCAAUUCUGUUUCUGUAUUCCCAACAGCCACCUUUGCUUCAGCUAGUUGAUCUUCAAGGCAUUUCUCCUCAUUUCCACUGCUCUUCCCAGCUAGGACACCUUGGUAAUCCUUCUCAUGUCCUUCCAAACUCUUAGAGAGUUCCUCAACUCUCUUUUUGAGAUCAGCUGCUCCUUCUUCAGACUUUCUCACAGCAGUGGCCCUCUCUUUCACAGAUUGCUUUAAGUCUUCAAUACUACAGACAAUCUUCUCAGCAUUCUCAUUUUCACUCCUUAAAGUGUCCUCCUUAUUGUUCAAUACAGAUACUUCUCGCACAAGAUCUUGAGAGAGAGCAUGUACUUUCUCUGACAAAGCUUUUACUUCCCCGCCCAUACUAGCUUCUUUGUCAGCAGUCAAUUGAGAUAUUUUUGUCUCCAUUUCCUUUAUUUCCACCUGUGUCCUUUCUUUGUCAUCGUCAAUCUCAAAAAUCUUGGCUUUUAUUUGUUCCACCUCACCAACUGCAAAGUCCCUAAUCUUCUCUGCUUGAACAUAUUCAUAAGCAAUGCAAAAUCUUUUCAGUCGAUCUAAUUCAGCAUUUCCAUUGGCCCACUGCAUAUAUUGCAUCCUUUCCUUCCUCAACUUCUCCAAAGCAGGAAGUAUUUCCUGAUCAAGAAGCUUAUUAAUCUCAUCAACCUUACUCUGCUUCUUCUCAAGUGUUUUCAGUGCAGCAUCUUUCUUUGUCUCAUACAUUCUAGUCCCAGCAGCCUCUUCCAGCAUGGAUAAAAUCUCAGGAGGCUUCAUAUUUAGGACCUUUGUGAUGCGUCCUUGCAUAAUGAGAAAAUGUGGAUUGUUAACAUUCAGCUGCACUGAAUGGAAAAGGUUUUGAACUUGACUAGGCUGGGCAAGCUUUCCAUUAAUCAGAUACUUGUUCCUUCCACCAACCACAAUCUGUCUUGUUACUGUGAUCUCUGAAUGAUCCUCAUAUCCUAGAGGACUCCUGCUCCUAUCAGAGUUAUCAAACACAAUAGACACUGUAGCCUUAGUGAUGCCAGCCUGCCCUUGCUUGUAAACCAGCUCCUGGAGGUUCGCUGCACGAACCUGCUGCAAAUUUGUUAUACCCAACACAAAGCAGAUCGAAUCAAGGAUAUUCGACUUGCCUGACCCAUUCAAUCCCGUUAUUGCAUUAAAGAAAGGAUCGAAACCCUGGACCACUGUCCGCGUCGCAUAUGAUUUGAACCCCUCUAAACAUAUCUCCUUGACAUACAUUCUUCCCCUAAAUUCAAAGAUCUGUGAAGGAUAAUCGCAAAAUCAACAGCGAAAGUUUCCAACUACAUUACCGUAGAAGUCCCCGAGGCCAAGGAUACCUAACCAAUCGAGCUUGCUUGAAAAUUCAAACUGCGAAAUUGAAAAUCUUUUAGAGAGGGGGAAAGAAACUAGGAUGUGCACAGUGUAGAGAGUGAUACAACAAGAGAUGUUUUAUAAAUUGAGAGUUUCUGAGAGAAGAAACCCAAAAAGUCAGUGAGUUGAGUGAGGAAUCGGAGAAGGGACCUGGGGAUUUCUAGACGCGGAGGGGGUUU
RNAcentral lists this unclassified non-coding RNA (4812 nucleotides) under Hevea brasiliensis (rubber tree). The record is from RNAcentral. Lineage: Eukaryota; Viridiplantae; Streptophyta; Magnoliopsida; Malpighiales; Euphorbiaceae.